This 76-nucleotide microRNA precursor is filed under the name Tropilaelaps mercedesae. Its description in RNAcentral is "mir-153 microRNA precursor family". It matches the Rfam family "mir-153 microRNA precursor family". Lineage: Eukaryota; Metazoa; Arthropoda; Arachnida; Mesostigmata; Laelapidae. The record is from Rfam by way of RNAcentral.
GAAUAUCUCAUUUUUGUGAUUGGUGCAGUUUCGAGCAUCCAAAGAGAAUUGCAUAGUCACAAAAGUGAUGGUGUCG